RNAcentral lists this ribosomal RNA (586 nucleotides) under Candida albicans. Its description in RNAcentral is "eukaryotic LSU rRNA". It matches the Rfam family "Eukaryotic large subunit ribosomal RNA", at positions 69 to 664 of the family's 3401-position model. Lineage: Eukaryota; Fungi; Ascomycota; Pichiomycetes; Serinales; Debaryomycetaceae. The record is from RNAcentral.
CAGGGGGUAUGCUCAGUAGCGGCGAGUGAGCGGCAAAAGCUCAAAUUUGAAAUCUGGCGUCUUUGGCGUCCGAGUUGUAAUUUGAAGAAGGUAUCUUUGGGCCCGGCUCUUGUCUAUGUUCCUUGGAACAGGACGUCACAGAGGGUGAGAAUCCCGUGCGAUGAGAUGACCCGGGUCUGUGUAAAGUUCCUUCGACGAGUCGAGUUGUUUGGGAAUGCAGCUCUAAGUGGGUGGUAAAUUCCAUCUAAAGCUAAAUAUUGGCGAGAGACCGAUAGCGAACAAGUACAGUGAUGGAAAGAUGAAAAGAACUUUGAAAAGAGAGUGAAAAAGUACGUGAAAUUGUUGAAAGGGAAGGGCUUGAGAUCAGACUUGGUAUUUUGCAUGCUGCUCUCUCGGGGGCGGCCGCUGCGGUUUACCGGGCCAGCAUCGGUUUGGAGCGGCAGGAUAAUGGCGGAGGAAUGUGGCACGGCUUCUGCUGUGUGUUAUAGCCUCUGACGAUGCUGCCAGCCUAGACCGAGGACUGCGGUUUUUAACCUAGGAUGUUGGCAUAAUGAUCUUAAGUCGCCCGUCUUGAACAACGGGACCA